This 774-nucleotide ribosomal RNA is filed under the name uncultured Neocallimastigales. RNAcentral's name for it is "partial large subunit ribosomal RNA". It matches the Rfam family "Eukaryotic large subunit ribosomal RNA", at positions 26 to 614 of the family's 3401-position model. The record is from RNAcentral. Lineage: Eukaryota; Fungi; Neocallimastigomycota; Neocallimastigomycetes; Neocallimastigales.
CGCAUCUGUGCAUGCAGCAUAUCAAUAAGCGGAGGAAAAGAAACUAACAAGGAUUCCCCUAGUAACGGCGAGUGAAGCGGGAAGAGCUCAAAUUUGAAAUCUUAAAGGGUUUCCCUUUACGAAUUGUAGUUUAAAGAAGUGUUUUCUGUUGAGGUUUUGGUAAAAGUUCUUUGGAAUAGGACAUCAUAGAGGGUGAGAAUCCCGUAUUUGACCUUUACUUUCAACUUUGUGAUACACUUUCAAAGAGUCGGAUUGUUUGGGAAUGCAGUCCAAAAUGGGUGGUAAAUUUCAUCUAAAGCUAAAUAUUGGCGAGAGACCGAUAGCGAACAAGUACCGUGAGGGAAAGAUGAAAAGAACUUUGAAAAGAGAGUUAAACAGUACGUGAAAUUGUCAAAAGGGAAGCGUUUGACACCAGUGUUGUUUUUCUGAAAAUCAAUUAAAGAACUGUUUAUGCUAAGCUGUUUAGACUUUAUCAGCUAUCUGCUUAGUUUUGAGCUUUUCUUUAAUGCACUUUUCAGUUAACAAGUCAACAUCAAUUUCUUUUGCUGUAAAAAAGCUUGAGGAAGGUGGCUUGAGAUUCGUCUUAAGUGUUUAUAGCCUCUUGCCUAUGCAGUCGGAGAGAUUGAGGUCUGCAGCGUAGAUCCUUCGGGGCUAAAUGCAUUUGUGCUAAGUUAUAGCAUUUUAUAGACAACUUGUUGACUAUGAUUUGUCUUGUAGCUUACUCGCUUAUGUUAUUUUACCUACGCUUAGGAUGUUGAGUCAUCACACAUCUCU